CAAGGAUGGGAUGCUCAGAGAA
RNAcentral lists this microRNA (22 nucleotides) under Symbiodinium microadriaticum. RNAcentral's name for it is "smc-miR-12455-3p". The record is from miRBase by way of RNAcentral. Lineage: Eukaryota; Dinophyceae; Suessiales; Symbiodiniaceae.